UGGGGAAUAUUGGACAAUGGGGGAAACCCUGAUCCAGCAAUGUCGCGUGAGUGAAGAAGGCCUUCGGGUUGUAAAACUCUUUCAGCAGUGAAGAUAAUGACUUUAACUGAAGAAGAAGCUCCGGCUAACUCCGUGCCAGCAGCCGCGGUAAUACGGAGGGGGCUAGCGUUGUUCGGAAUUACUGGGCGUAAAGAGCGCGUAGGCGGAUCAAAAAGUUAGACGUGAAAUCCCUAGGCUCAACUUAGGAACUGCGUUUAAAACUAGUGAUCUUGAAUACGGGAGAGGGUAGUAGAAUUUCCAGUGUAGAGGUGAAAUUCGUAGAUAUUGGAAGGAAUACCAGUGGCGAAGGCGACUACCUGGAACGAUAUUGACGCUGAGGCGCGAAAGCGUGGGUAGCAAACAGG
Molecule: ribosomal RNA, 404 nt
Filed under: uncultured bacterium
Lineage: Bacteria
Description: bacterial SSU rRNA
Rfam family: Bacterial small subunit ribosomal RNA
Source: RNAcentral